AUACUUACCCAGGAGGGAAGAUACCAUAAUCAAGAAGGUAUUUUUUCCCAGGCUUAUCCACUGCAUUUCAGAUGUUUUGGCCCUUGUGACUUCCCCCAAAUGAGGGAAAAUGCAUAAUUUGUGGUAGUGGGCAAUCGUGUUCAAGCCUUCCCC
Small nuclear RNA from Rattus norvegicus (Norway rat), 153 nucleotides. Ensembl annotates it as U1 spliceosomal RNA. The record is from Ensembl. NCBI's taxonomy places the organism in Eukaryota, Metazoa, Chordata, Mammalia, Rodentia, Muridae.